GGAUAUGAAGGCUAUCUGGGUGUGGUAGCUGUCACUUCUCUGGUUGCUAGGGUGCACCUGGAUGAUCUGGCUAACUGGGCAGGUACUCUCCUGUCUUCACUUCC
RNAcentral lists this small RNA (104 nucleotides) under Procavia capensis (Cape rock hyrax). Its description in RNAcentral is "7SK RNA (ENSPCAG00000020666.1)". It matches the Rfam family "7SK RNA", at positions 1 to 108 of the family's 331-position model. Rfam says of the family: 7SK was discovered as an abundant small nuclear RNA in the mid-70s but a possible function has only recently been suggested. Two independent studies have found that 7SK RNA binds the CDK9/cyclin T complex (known as elongation factor P-TEFb). P-TEFb activates transcription by phosphorylating the C-terminal domain of RNA polymerase II. Lineage: Eukaryota; Metazoa; Chordata; Mammalia; Hyracoidea; Procaviidae. The record is from RNAcentral.